UUCGGCGGUCAUAGCGGUGGGGAAACGCCCGGUCCCAUUCCGAACCCGGAAGCUAAGCCCACCUGCGCCGAUGGUACUGCACUCGUGAGGGUGUGGGAGAGUAGGACGCCGCCGGAC
Molecule: ribosomal RNA, 117 nt
Filed under: Actinokineospora diospyrosa
Lineage: Bacteria; Bacillati; Actinomycetota; Actinomycetes; Pseudonocardiales; Pseudonocardiaceae
Also listed under: 4 other names
Source: RNAcentral